AACAACUUGCCAUGAGGCUUCACUGGCCGGUGCAGAAGAUCCAUGGAGGUAAUGGAUGGGAAAGAGGUGCUGGAUCACCAGGAAGAAGAGAGACUUUGAACAGGAGUGAGGGCAACAGUGAGAAAAGCACAGGAUUAUGGCAGUGGAAUAUUUAAAAUUGAUAGAGGAGAGUAAUUAUGACUGGUCCAAGUGAAGGUGGCUCAAGGCAGGCUCUGAGGCAGAGAAGGGUGGUUAUGUCGCAGCAGAUGUCAGAAGAGAAUGGGAAUACUCCUUCUGUUUCAUCACAUUUCUCAGGAACAAACAGAGGGUAAGACAAUGCUGACAUCUUCGAGGAAGGAUUGGAAGCUGGAAAAGCAUUUAUUGUCUACAAAACUUGAAAACCAAAAACUAUCAGGUGAAAACUGAUCUAUUUCACCUACUUGUGUCUUGAAUGUCUAGAAUUUACAAAACCUUAUCUAAGAAGGUGGGUCUUCCUUGAUUGCUUCUAGUCCUGUUCACUGCCAAAGAUUAAACCUUUACAGACUUGGGCUGGAAACCUGACCAGAAAUUGCUGAUGAACCAAAAUAAAAAUGGGGGAAGCUGAGUAACCAUAAACCAGCUGUGUUAAGUGUCUGUCUCUGAAGACUCGUAAAAUCUAUUUUGGAAAGCUCAGCUGUAAGUUUAAACAUCAGGGUAGAUUUAAGUAACUCAGCUUAUUUUACAGGUGUUUUAAAGCAGCCUGGAAAAGAACAGGAGGAUUGCUCACGUUGCUGAAGGUCUCCAGGACAGGACACACUGUCUCUCUCCUGUGCUAGUGUAGGGAUGUGCCACGAACCCUGCAGCACUCAGAUGCUUUCUGGGCACUCAGCCUGUGGUGGAUGAACAAGAGAGGAGUCCCUGCCAGUGGGGUGGAUAAUAGAAAUGUUCUGGACAGUCAGAGUGCUGCUGGAGAUGACAUAUGAGAAAGUCAUAAAGCUCAAGUGGAGAAAUGCUUUCUCAGGUGAUCAUUCACUUUUUGCUGCUAAUUUUCAAUAUUAAGAAUCAUCUUGGCCACGGUUAAUAAUGUUGAAUGAUGUGUUAUUCCAUCCAAUGGGAUAAGAUGCAAGAGAUACAAUGACUUGGAGUGAGCUGAAAAAUGAAGGGGAAGAACUGAACCAACCAGAACUUUACAAAUUCGCCUUAUGAUAAUGAAUACCUGCUCCCUUCCUUCUCAGAGGAAUCAAUUCAAUUUUCCAUCCUGAGGAGCAAAGAAAAUGCCAGUCCAAUAGACUUUUAGUGUGGAUUGGCUGAAACCACAAAGAAAGAAAAAUUGUCUGAGAGUCCACGUGAGAGCAAGAGCAGCUCCCAUUCUGCAUCUUAAUGGCAGAAGAAAAUGACCAGCAAUUCUGCAGCAGAUUACAGGGUCACAUCUCUCAUUACUGUGGGGAAUGCAGAAGGCAGAACACAUAACUACAGAUACCACAGUACUGUCUGUUUCUCAAAAUGCUUCUGCUUUCAUUGCCUUUUUUUCCCCCUUUAUUUUUAAUAGCAAUGGAAUAUGCUGAACUGCAAAUGCUGUUACUUGCUGUAUUUUUCCUCAUUCCUGGAGUUAUACAUUCAUUUCUGUCUUGUAAAAAUAACCUGUUUAUUCCAUUUCUAAGUUCUGCAUGAGACGGUUCUCAUUUUCCUCAUUCCCUGUGGUUUUAUCACAACUGCCUGCCCACCUAUGUGCUUUGUCUCAGCUACAGAGUUUUCCUUUUCCAGAAAGCUGCCAAGCAGGUCUCUCCAGCAGCAGAGAAAUGAUGGUCAGUGCAGAAGUCUCUUUGUGCUGAAUUAAUUGCAAGCCUCCCUACUUAAUUCAGGGAAAGCAGUAUAGUGCCCUAACUUAUCCUGGGUGAUUUGGGGGCUCAUUUAUUUCUCUGGUUGUCUCCAGUCAAAAUAAAUGAUUGUGUGCUCUGUGCUCCCACCUCCUGCAUCUCACCCCACCCCGGUCCCCGCAGGUUGUGCCAGCCCAGCCCAUCUGGGGGGGGCGCUGCAGCCCUCACCAGGGACCAGGAGAGUUUCAGCAGCAACCAGGCUGGUCACCAGUGCCAGGGGAUGGGCAAACCAUGCUGCUGUAGCAAAGCAGACUGAGGAUGGAUGGCCAGAAAAACGCACUUUCCACUCAAAAAGGUUCCAAAGCCCAGGGAUAUGUCAUUAAGGGGUGGUGGAAUUUUUAUAGGAUGGCCAAGCAUGUCUCAGCUCCAUGGGGGCCAUAAGUCUUGGAGUUCGAGGGUGGGCUGGCUGCCCCCACUUGGCAAGCUACCUGCUUUUCCACAGCUGUACAAUUUGGUUUCCAAAAAUAAAUGUAAUUUUAUUACGGGCUGCCUUAUCAUUGCUCUAAUAUUUUUCCACUGAGAGCCUGAAAAAUUGAAUUACUGAGCAUCCUCUAAAUCUACCACUCCUCACACAGCUCUGGUCUCUUCUGAACUCAACCAGAGCCAUCAGCUCUUGGGCAAGCAUGUGCAGAUGGAUCCCUGGAGUAUCUGUAGGACACAUUUAUGAGUAAUUACCUAUCAUCUAGAAGGUUACAGAGCAGCAGCUUAAGUGUGACCUGCCUUCUGCAUUUAUAUCCAAGUCAAGACUAAGAAACAUCUCUAGCAGAUGGGAAAACUCUCCAGCCUCUCAAAGCUUCUCCAAGAUGGAUUAUUUACUAUCUAGCACCUCUCAGAGCAAUGAGAGUUUAUCCAAGUCAGUUGCUCCUACAUCUACUUACUCUGUCUUGUUAUUCUAUAAGGAUCCCAAUCAGGAUUCAUCAAAAUACUGAGUGAGAAACUAGCCAGCAUAAGGGUUUUAGUUUUUUGACCUAUUUUGUGACCUAUUUUUUCAUUUGUACGCUGCUAGAAAGUUGCAUGCUUGGUUUUGACACCCUGUGUGUGACACAUGCAGAAAUGUUUCCUGACCAGUUUAUGCCAGAACCUUUCAGUCCCUGGGCUGUCUAAUGCUGCUUUCACCCUGCUUUUUUGCUGUUCUCAAUGCAGGACUGUCCCACACCAGGCAGACAAGUGGCACAGUCUCUCUCUGACCUGCAGGACAGUGUUGGGAAGGUGACAAUCUUUCCUUAGGACCUGUUGGGACACUCUCUAUUAACCUCACCAGGAGCUUCACACACAUCUCAACAUGUUUGCUCUUCUAUCUGCAGUACUCUUUUUUAUGCCACUCUGGCAGAGAGCAAAAAUACAAGCUUAGAAUUGUUUGGCUUUGGCUGGUUUUGGAGAUUCAAUCUGGAUGCUGAUCUGAAAUGUCCUUUAGUGUGGAAAAUACAGCUGCUGUGAGUACAGAAAUUAUGUAACCAGAUGAGUGAGUUUGUGGUGUUUCAAGGGACCACUCUAGACAGAAAAGGUGGCUGUGGCUCCUGGGGCAGGACAUGCACAUUGCUCAGUCCCUGUGGCUUCACUCUGAGCUGGCCUCAGUCCACACCUACGCUUCUUGUUUGUUGUUUGCUUCUCCCAACUGCAAAGAAGUCACCCAGAUGGAAAUCACUUGUCUGUCUCUCUGUGAACAAAACAAAAUCUUUUGGGGGGUUUCCAUCCAGCAGUCUAAAAGCCUGGCACAAAUUUGGAAGCACAGAGGAAUUUCUUGAAUUGCAACUUUCUAACAACCUUUUCCAAAACUCAGAGGUUGAAUUUGGCCUGAGCUUUAGAAAAUACCCAGGCAAAAUCUUGUUAUGUGCAAACAGUUUCACUUUCCUUUAAACCAACACGAAAAAAAGAAGGAAAAGCUGACAGAGCUGGCUCAGUGAUUCCACCCCAAGACCUCUGUUGCCUCCUCCCUUUCUACGUGGAGCACCUUGAGACUACACAUUCAGAGAUUUUUGGGAAAUUUAUGAAGAACAAGUGCUAUGGAAAUCUUAUCUCAUAAAUUUGGUUUGUUUAUUUUCUUUAAAUCAAUCAAACAGUUCAAACAAACCAUGCACAUCUUUGCAACACCAAAGUUAAACACAUUUUAGAGGUGGUGGUAUUCAUGGGAAGCAAAACUUAUAGGAAAUUAUAUGAACUCUUUCCAACUGUAACCCCUAUUUUUUCCCUCGUGUCAUGAAGUCAUUGAUUCUUUAGAAUUUCCCAAAUGUAUCCAGAGUAAAAGCAGUGCCUUGCAGUGGGUUUGACACUAUUUUCGCCACGGUCAAAGUGAAAGCUCCCAUUGUCAGCAGCAAAACCCUGGAGGGAAUGUGCCAGCCAGGAGAGAUUAAACGUCCUUUGUAUUGUACAACAAAAAGCGUUGUAAGGUUGAUUACAAUAAAAGCUUUCCA
Long non-coding RNA from Corvus hawaiiensis (hawaiian crow), 4246 nucleotides. RefSeq lists it as uncharacterized. Lineage: Eukaryota; Metazoa; Chordata; Aves; Passeriformes; Corvidae. The record is from RefSeq and is a predicted model, not a curated record. The transcript is spliced from 3 exons.